Molecule: ribosomal RNA, 406 nt
Filed under: uncultured bacterium
Lineage: Bacteria
Description: partial 16S ribosomal RNA
Rfam family: Bacterial small subunit ribosomal RNA
Source: RNAcentral
AUUGAACGCUGGCGGCAGGCCUAACACAUGCAAGUCGAGCGAGCGGCGGACGGGCGAGUAAUGUCUGGGCAACUGCAUGAUGGAGGGGGAUAAAUACUGGAACCGGUAGCGAAUACCGCAUACCAUCAGAUGUGCUCAGAUGGGAUUAGCUAGUAGGUGGGGUAACGGCUCACCUAGGCGACGACCCACAGCUGGUCUGAGAGGAUGACCAGCCAACCUGUAACGGGGCCACGCGCCAGACUCCUACGGAGGAAAGCGGAGGGAAAUAUUGCCCAAUGGGCGAAAGUCUGAUGCGGCCAUGCCGCGGAUGGGAAGAGGGCCUUCGGGUUGUAAGGCACGUUCAGCGGGGAGUCGUUACCCGCAGAGAAAGCACCGGCGAACUACGUGCCAGCAGCCGCGGUAAUAC